This is a long non-coding RNA of Trifolium pratense (red clover), 3863 nucleotides long. RefSeq lists it as uncharacterized. Lineage: Eukaryota; Viridiplantae; Streptophyta; Magnoliopsida; Fabales; Fabaceae. The transcript is spliced from 5 exons. The record is from RefSeq and is a predicted model, not a curated record.
GGAUACACCAUUUAAUGGGGAGAAACUAAGGUAUGGCUAUCUUAAAUAUCUGUCCUCUUAAAUGUAGUAAAUCAGUCUAUCAAGUUUUACCAUUACUUGAAGGUCCACUGAAGAACAGAUUAGCAACAUUGUGGAAACCAAGUCAACAAGUAACGAUCUCUGCUAUUGACGAAAACCGCUUCAUGUUUCAGUUUUACCAUUACUGGGACAUGGAAAGAGUCUUCCAUGGAGGUCCGUGUGGUUGUUUGAUAACUACAUGCUGGUGUUGAGGAAGUUAUCCUUUGGCACUACAGUGCCAUUGGACACAGCUGAUAUAUGGGUGCAGGUACACCAACUCCCUUUCGGAUUCAUGAACGAGCAGAUCGGUGUGUUGAUAGGUAGUCAUAUUGGUGGUUCAAUCACGUACGAAGAUAGCAACAACUACGGUCCAUGGAGAAAGUAUAUGAGAUUAAGAGUAGCUGUCAACACUUAAGAACCACUAUAAAAAGAGUGGAGUUUUGAACUGGAUCAAGGUGCAGAGGUAAAGGUUUUGUUUAAAUAUAUGAAAAACUGGCCAACUUCUGUUUUUUUUUGUGGAAUUUUGGGACACACAGAAAGCUUUUGUAACAAAAAGCAUGAUCCUGGCUUUAACAAUAGUGAGAAGAUGUGGGGCAAUUUUAUUAGAGCUGAAAGUGGUUAUUUAGGAGGAGGUAAUUCUGUAUACAUGUGGCUGCGAGGGGGUCCAAACGACACUAUUGGAGGACGAAAUGCAGGUGCUAUGCUAAUGCUCAGAAUGGUCCAUCUGGAAGGAAAAACAAUGACAUUCUCUAUUUGGACGCGUCAAAGUUGUGUCCGAUCCAAAAUCAAAGGCGUUGGCUUUCUUUAUGGAAGAUGCUAAGGUGGGGAACAUCCACAACAACGAAUCAAUGAAACAAUGGGUGCCUAUCACCUUCAAAGAAAAGGACAGUCAGCAACCAGCAGGUACUACAGUUAUGACUGGACCUGACAAGCAAAGCAAUAGUCUCAUACUCUCAUACUUACAGAAAAUGCGAGGGAAGUUCAGGAGAUUAUCAUGAAUGGAAAAAGAUAUUUUGUCCGAGCUCCACUCAUGCCUGAUCCUCUAGUCUAGGCCCAAUCAGCUAUGUCCCAAGUCAGUUACGCAACCUGAAGUUUCUGAAUGACAAACAGCUACCAAUUACCAUCUUUGUCUGCUGAAGCUAUGAACUCAGGUUCUCAGUGUGAAGACAAGCAGAGUCAGAAUUCCAAGAACGCAGGGCUGGAAGUUAUCCCACUGCGCCUGGAAGGAGGAACGGAAGACACAGAAGCUAGUAACGGUGAUGUUUGGAUGCUGGAGGCCUUUAGCUCCAAAGUGACUAAGGACAGUGAAGAUAUCACUCUUAUGCACAACAAUCAUUUAUUUUCUGUUACUGAUGUAAAGGCAGGACCUGUUAACCAGGCCUGCCUCAAAAAUGAGUUGUAUCAAUUGGAACCGUGUCAUGUGUGAAUUUUGCAGGCACAACGCAACGACAUGAAGUUGAAGGAGACUGGAAUUUGGUGUGCUAAAAUUCCUCCUAAAAUAAAAAAUCUGUUAUGGAGAAUUGGUCGAAAUUGCCUACCGACUCAAGAAAGACUUGCAAGUCACGGUGUGAUGUGCCCAGUAAAUUGUGCAGGCUGUGAUGAAGGAAUCGAAGACAACAUCCAUAUGUUUUUCCAGUGCACGCAGAGUUCAAUAUGCUGGCAACGAGUUGGUCUAUGGGAUUUAAUUUGUGCUGGGCUGAACUGAACUAAAACAAUUACUGAAAAUUUGCAUUUUGUCACAAACUUACAUUGCUAUUUAUAACUGUUUUUGCUACAUACCAGAGUGGUAAAUUGAUUAUAAAAGCAUUCAGCUCUGGCAUCUAGUGUAGAAAUAGGCAGUUGUAAUUGGAUUCUAAAUGGUCCAAAGGGGGGAUGUUGCUUAUCUUUCAAGUUCCUGCUUCUUUUCUAGUUCAUUAAUUUAUUCAGAUUUCUCAUCCUUGAGUGAUGCACAAGAUAUUGAGGAUGGGGAUAAUAACUCUGAUCCAACUUCUGGCACGUUAUUACCCCUGACCUGAGUUUUCAAAAUUUGGAUGGAUCCAGACUUAACUCUGAUGAGAAUUUUGAAGAAAAGGAAAAACUGGUUUUCAUAUGCUGAUGUGCUAUAGAGUGUGUCAAAGAUGGCGGCGCUGUUCUUAUUCCUAUUGAUCGACUGGGAACUAUUUUGCAGCUUUUGGAGGAAAUGACAACGUUACACGAAACUUCAGCUAUGGAGGUUCCAAUUUAUAUAAUUUCUUCAGUGGCUAGAAUUACUAGGGUUGCUUAACAUCAUACCAGAGUGGCUUUGUAAACAGCGGCAAGAAAGAGAACGUACCUUUCGAAUUAUGAAUUUGGUCCAUUGCGCUUGCAUGCUAAAAUUUGCAAAUUAUGAAUUUGGUCUAAUUCUUGCAUGCAGUUAUUUGCUGGGGAAUCGUUGUUUGCGCGUGUCAAUCUCCUAAAAGUGAAAAAGAUUCACUAUUCGUUCACAUUCACUUUUGUGAGACUUUUACCUUGUUUUUCCUUUCUCUUCUCUAUUGUCAAAAACAUAUGUUGGUAAUGAAAAUAAUUUGAUCACAUUUAGUUUCCUUUCGCACCUUCUAGAUGCAAAAUCACGUGUUCCUCUAACAAUGUUAAUUGUUUGAGCAAAUUUGUAUUUCCUUACUAAGAGUUUGAGUUUCCAUUAAUAACCUCAGAAUGCAUAAAUCACAAAUGGUUUUGCUUGACAUUUUUAGUGUUAUUUUUUCUCACUUAUGUAUUGUUUGUAAAAAGAAUUGGCAAGAACCCUGCAUGGUAUUUUGUCCCCGCUGGAGUCUGCAUAUUGGUCCCGUUGUUCAUCUGCUUUGACGUUGGUGUGGCAAUACAAAAUCUUUGCUUAUCCUCGAGGAUAUUGCGAAUCCUGAGCUAGCACUCUUACCUUUCAAGCCAGUUGCAAUGAAGGUUCUUCAGUGUUUGUUUCCCUCACGAAUAGGAACAACAACAUAUGGAUGAUUGCAUGGUCUUCUCGGUACCAUAUGUGAAUUUGCUUUUUUUAGUCGGGGACUUGGACUACACUUCAUAUUCAUAUUUCCUCUCUUAUUGUUAGCGACUAGGACUUUUAUAUCACAUUUCUUUUUUUGACUUGGAACCCCCGGUUAAGAAUUCAGAUGAAAAUUUUAAAAAGGUUAACUUCUUUAAAAUUUGGUCAAUACAAAGUGUAGUCCGCUCAUGACAGAUUGAUUUCUGUAUUUAACUUCCCCUCCAUAUUUGUAAGUUGCAGAAAGUUCAACCUUUACUCAAGACACCGCAGCCAAAGAUUGUUCUGGUAAUUGUAAAAUUGUGAAAAGUCUUUCUCAGUUUCAUAUUAUACCGAAGCCGGAACUCUAAAAGUAUCAUGUCAAAAGGACAGUUCAGACUUGAAAAUUGCAGCUGAUUUGGCUUCCCAGUUUUAUUGGAAAACCUUUAAAAGGCCCCAAUGUUGGUUAUAACAAGUUUUGCGCGAAUAACCCCAAUGUUGCACCAAGAACAAAACAACUAAAAAGAUUAACCCAGUGGAUUCAUAAAGACGGAGAUUUGUUCGUGAGAGGUAUCAAUUAAGUAAGGUUGAAGGACUGACGCUACAAAAUGUGAUCGACUAUCUAGGUGAUGUGGAACAACCAGCCACUCUGUAGUUUAGUCUAAAAAGAAGUUAGGAACUUAAACGAAGAUGUGAAUAACUUGCUCUUGUUUUGCGAGUAGAUUUUGAAUUUCGAGGAUGAAAUUUUUUCAAGGGUAGAGUGUAACAACCCAAGUCUAAUUACUAGUAAUAAUAGUAGUAUUAAUUAGAAACUCCAUUUAAAAAAUAAAAUGAUAUU